This 593-nucleotide long non-coding RNA is filed under the name Vulpes vulpes (red fox). RNAcentral describes it as "lncRNA (ENSVVUG00000008437.1)". The record is from RNAcentral. Lineage: Eukaryota; Metazoa; Chordata; Mammalia; Carnivora; Canidae.
AUGUUUGUUGAGCAUUUUGGGUGCCCCCAGUGCUGUAGAAAAUGCAGCGUAUUCCUUAUCUCGUGGAAACCCUACAACUGCUCUUGGGACAUCAGUACUGUCUUUAUUCCCAUUUUACAGGUAAAGAAACUGAGGCUUGGAGAGGUUCUGACGCCAGCUUGGCUAGAAAGCCACGAAGAGUGUGGAGAGAGGCAGAAGGGACCCAGGUUAGGAGCUCUGCUGAGACUCAGGUGUGACCCACAGAUUAGUCCAGAGCCAUCAUGGCCAGGAUGCAAGGCCGGCCCAUCCCUAGCUAAGGAAAAAGAAAAGUACGCCAACCCUUCCACAUGGAGAUGUGAGCAAGCAAAAGAGGUAGAAGGGCAAUUCACGAAACAACUGUAAGGAAAUGACCUCCAGUUAUAGAAUACUUAAUUUCAUAAGUAAUUCAAGGAGAUAUAAAUGCAAAGAUCAAGGUGUCAUUUGUCACCUGUAAAAUUCGAGAACUUACUUUAUGUUACUAUUUACUGUGUUUGUGUUAUGAUACGGUUAUGCUCAUAACAGUAAACGUGUAUAAACUUUCUGGAAAGCAUCUUGCAAAUUAUGCAAAAGAUGUU